UAGUGUGUGUGUAGUAUGUAGUGUGUGUGAGUAGGCGUAUUGUGAAUUUUCGUGUAGGAUGGUGUAAUUUGUUUACUUCAAGUGUUUUAAAUUGUGAUCGAACAAUUUCGAAACCUAAAGGUCUAACUGAAAAAGAAAUGAUUGAUGCAUUAUUCGAAACACCAGAAGAUUCUUGUAUCGGAAGUAAUUAGCUGUGAAUUCAUAUCUACUAAAAGAGGAAGACCAAAUAAAGAAAAUAAACAAACUAAUAUAACUGACAGAAAAACCAGAGGUGUUUACAAACGACAUUUCUAGGUGUUAGAUUUGAUGGUAUCAACAUUUUCCUGAUUGGUUUGGGACUAGACAAAAGUGUAAAUACUUAAGACUGCAAAGGUAUAACAUAUGCUAUUUGUAAUAAAUGUAAUAAAUCCUUAUGCUUCACUAAAAGUUCUAACUGUUUUAAAAAAGUACCUUACUAAACAAAUGUAACAAGUAUACUUGGUUAAUAUAAAUUACUGUAAAAAUUGGUAGGUAAAUAAAGUCCAUUGUAAAAAUAAUAACCAUUUAUUUCAAAUCCACAAGACACAUUAGACAAACGUAACCAUUAUACCAUAAUAUAACAUAUACCAUAUAUUGUAUUGUUGACACAGCAUCACUAUCAAAUAAACUCCGCUCAUCAUCGGUUUUUCGUUAGCAAUGAUAUAUUGUUGCUUACAGAUAUACAUUGAAUUCUCUUCUGUAUCCUACCUUCUCAACUUCCGACCUACAGCAGUGGCUGCACCCACAUGCAUAUUAUGGAUAUCCAGUUCAUGAAAUGAAUGAUUUCACUAUGUGGAUGUGACAUAUACAUAUAGUACCAUAUAUUAAGCCUAGAUUAACAGAUUUCAAGUAGUUAUUUUUAAUUUUGAUCAAAUAUAUCACUGAUUCAUUGGAAUUAAUAUUAUCAUGAUAUUAUUAUUACUAGGUACUUAGUUAUAUAUAUAUAUAUAUUAUUAUUUUUUAAUAAAAGGAAAAGAAUAUUUAUGUUUCACACAAAUCUAUUUCUUCUAAUAUCAUAAUAAGAAGAGUUAAAAUUCAAUAACCAAGCGAGGUAUGACUUAUGUUUUUCAACCAGUAUUAAUUUGUCAUUUAGACCUUUAUGUCAUCACGUUUAAAUAAUAACUAACACUUUCUAGAUUCAAAUGUUUUGCCAUAUCAGGCAUAUAUAUAAAAACUAAUUUUUCCUACAUUCAAAUUUCUGAAGAUACCGCUACUGUGGCCUGACAGUAUGUAGGCAAAUAUCUAUAUUUUAGAUCCUUUACAGAUUGGCACAACAUAAUUUGCAAUAUUUGUAGUAUAGCAAAUUUAUGUUAUUUUCUAAUAACUUAAAUUGUGGUUUUUAGAAUGAUAGCAAACUUGUUUAAAUCAUUUUUUUCAGUUUCCAAUUUGAAAUUUGUAAACCUAUUAAGAUAAAAGAUUAAAUUAAAAUUCAAGUACAUAGAAACUUUGGACAUGAUUUCUAUAAAUGAUAUUUAAAUCUAAUAUGAACUUAGUUAUUUUUUAUUUACACAUUGUGACCUUUAAUUGGAAUAAUUAAUUCCUAUGUCUAUUAUUUGUUGAGUUGCUAUUGUAGUACCUAUUUUAAAUCGUACAUACAAAUGAAAGAAUACAACGACAUUGUAAAGUAUUUGUUAUAAAUUUAAAUGUAUUAAAUGUUUUUAUUUUUUUUUUGAGCUGAUUAAGAACAAAAAAUGGCAACAAUUACGUCAACUACUUUCACACCGGGUACCCUAUUAUGGGUAAAUGUGAAUAACAUCUGGUGGCCAGGGAAAGUCGUACACCCAAAAAGUGCACCAAAAAAAACACAGCAUAUCAUGAACCAAAAGCGGCAUCUCGCUGCUAUAGUCUGGUUUGAGACAGACAACAAAUAGUAAGUUUAAAUUAGGAUGCAAUUUUUGUAUUUAGAAUAUUUGUAUCGGUUCCAAUUAAAAUAUACAGGUUGUUCCAUGGAGAUAUACUUAUUUUGUUAUAUCUCUGAGAUAAUAAAGAUGAAAGAAUUUUUUUUUAUUUUGUUAUUCACUGGGAUAAAGACUACAAAAAUUAUAUUCCAAUUAAUUGUAUAUAUUGUGGUAAAAAAUUUAAAAAAUGACUUUUAAAUUCAGAGAAAAGUACCUAUAAUAAAUACCCAGCAGGCUGUAAUCACAUUUUUUAUUAUUAUCAUGAUUAUUGACUGUACAUUUAUUUUUUUUAAACUUAAAAAUAUAAUUAAAAAUAACAAAUCCAAUGAAAAUAAAAAGUGGAUUCAUCAACAUUUUCGGAAAUAAUAAAAUAAAACAUUUUUUUUAAAAUUUCUUUCAAAACACGAACAAUUAAUUUGUGAUCCUUAUUCCGGUGAGUAAUAUUAAUGAAACUGAAUUUGACUAUCUUUAUUAUCUCCGAAGAUAUUACAAUGUGUAUAUAUUAGUAUAACACAUUGUAUAUUACAGGUCAUAUUCACAUAUGGAUAAUGUAAUAUCAAUAAAGUGUUUUUGUAUUAACUUGAUAAUAGAGCAUUAGCCAAAGUCUUCUGGAUAACAUCAAAAAUCUAUAAAACUAAAUUUUCAAUGUUUAAUUGCAAAGAGUUACUAUUAAACCAUUUUUUAACUCAUGAUAAACCAUCAUUAGCUUUGCCAUGAGGCCUAUCUUAGGAGUUAUCAUUAAAUAUAAAUACUAUAUCAUCAUAUUUGCAGCAGA
RNAcentral lists this long non-coding RNA (2691 nucleotides) under Cinara cedri. Lineage: Eukaryota; Metazoa; Arthropoda; Insecta; Hemiptera; Aphididae. The record is from RNAcentral.